RNAcentral lists this long non-coding RNA (333 nucleotides) under Olea europaea (common olive). RNAcentral's name for it is "long non-coding RNA (OEUR_LNC009781)". The record is from RNAcentral. Lineage: Eukaryota; Viridiplantae; Streptophyta; Magnoliopsida; Lamiales; Oleaceae.
CACUACAAAAGAGCCUAAAACCACGAGCUUCAACAAACUUAAAAGGUAAUUCAUCCAAAACUAUCAUUUUAGCACAUGCAACUCUACACUCUUCCUUGGUUUGACCAACAACAAUAAGAUUGCUCCCUCCACCCUCUUUCUUGUUCUCAAAUGAUAAGGUUUUUUGCUUCUUAUCCACUAAUCUACCUGGAUACUUCUUACAAUGAUUUGUCAAAUGAUUACUCAAUGUACUAGUACCACACUUCUUAGUACCACAAGCAUAAUCUACUCCACAAUAAUUACAUUUACACUUAACAUCUGAAUCAUCCCUUGAGCCCAAUAGAGUGAAGUGAU